UCCUCCCUCAAACCCCGCGUUUGGUGUUGGACCGCUGUGAGGUUCCGGCCUCACUGGUCCCAAAGACAAUGACGGCGUCCGUGGGACCCCUCUGCGCAACGAGCUUUCACGAGCACGCGCAAAAAGGACCCCGCGGGCCGGUCUCUCCUUUUUACUUCUAA
Molecule: unclassified non-coding RNA, 161 nt
Filed under: uncultured Herpotrichiellaceae
Lineage: Eukaryota; Fungi; Ascomycota; Eurotiomycetes; Chaetothyriales; Herpotrichiellaceae
Description: sequence contains ITS2
Source: RNAcentral